This is a long non-coding RNA of Passer domesticus (house sparrow), 1936 nucleotides long. RefSeq lists it as uncharacterized. The record is from RefSeq and is a predicted model, not a curated record. The transcript has 3 exons. NCBI's taxonomy places the organism in Eukaryota, Metazoa, Chordata, Aves, Passeriformes, Passeridae.
GGGAGUGCUCAGUAAUGUGGUGGAGUUGUGGGAUUUGUGUGUCCUUGGGUGGCUGGUGGUGUAGCUGUGUCAUAGUGAAGUCAGUAUGUACUGUUGUUAGAAGAGAGAGCAUACCAAAUCACAACAUGUUUCAUGCAAUCUGUCUCUGCUUCUGCUGAAGAACAGUUACUGAUUUGAUGAGAAGCCAGCACUUUUAAGAGGAUGCUGAUGGGAACCCAGUGGUGGAAGUGAGAAGAAGUAAACAGUGCAUAACUCGCUGUUGUGCCCACUGUGGUGUCCAGCAGGAGUUCCCUGCCCUCUGUCUGCCAGGAUGCUGCUCCUCUUUGCACAGACCAUCUCCUGUGAGGUGCUUGAGCCAUGGGAUCGUGCUGAUCAUCCCUGCUCCUCCUCCUGCUCUCUCCAGACCCCUCCUGUGUGGCACUGGCUGCCUGUGCUGCCAGCUAGCAAGCAGCUGCCUGGGGAUGGGCCAGUUUUCACUUCACUGCAGCCUGUUAUGUAUUCUGUGUGGGUUCCACUCUGCACCUGCAGUGUCACAGAAUCAUGGAAUAGUUUGGUUGGAAGGGAUCUUCAAAUGUCUCUAAUGCACAUCAAAGAGGAGGUUUUUUGGUUUCAUGUACAUUAAAUAGUGUAUGGAUUAAGACUUAAAAAAUAGGUUUUAUUUAAUCACAUAAGAAUUGACCACACAAAAUUGAGCCGAAGGUUGGUCUAGCCCAAUAUUCCAUGUUUAUUUGAUGGCAGACAAAAAAAGAUGUUUGGGAAAGAGUCUAAAACUGGGGCAAUGGUGUAGUGGGACAGCCUCAAAGGUGCCUUCCCCGUCUCCAGAGAUUUGUGGCAUUUUAAUGGAUGGACUAUUUCUAUUUAAUUGGUGGGGAAUUUGGUGAAGUGCCACCCACAGAAGUUCAAGGACUGUGUUUAACAUGGAACCUCAUCACUGAGACUGAUUGUGUGUACAUCGAUAUUCUGGCACUGGUGAUUCUUACCAUCAAAGGAAGACCCUGUCUAAUCAAACAAGGUGUGAUGCUUGACUUACAGAAGAUUGAUUUCUGUCUCAGAGAAACCUUGACUCAUGCUUUUCAGCUUGUUCCAAACACAUACAUUGUUACUUUCUUUUAUCUUAUACGCCAUGCAAUUAAAAAAGUGUGGACUUUUCUAAAGGAGGAAACAGUUGAUCAGAAAAGCCUGCUGAACAGCAAGUGCUGUUACAAGACAGAAAAAGCAGCUCUGAUCAUGUUUUGACUUUUUUUUUUCACAUUUGGAUACUGAAUUUAACAACCUCUUGAUUUUUUAUUCUUAAUCAGGAACACACCUUGUUUUUGUUCAAUUAAAAGAGUGUCUUGGAGCUACAUGGUUUCAGAAAGGUCAUGUUGUAGAGCCAUAUGCAGAACAACUGUCACCUGAUUCUCCAUUCAUUAACUCUGCAGAAGGAGGUUUUUCUUUUAAGAUGAGAAAGAAGUCAGUGGCACAAAAUUGUUUAUCUCGUCUUCUGAUUCCAAUUUUUUUUUUUGCCUGUAGAAUGCUGCUUGUAAUAUUUUAUACAUGCAAUCUCUGAGCUAAAUAAAUAAAUAAUUUUUUUUUCUGCCAGAAAAACUUUUCAGGUGAGUCUUGAUGUCUCCAUCACAAAGUUUUCUCCUUCAGGAGUUCAUGUGCACUUCUGGGUCAGCCCUGGACAAUGCAUUUGCGGUUUCAGGAGCAGCAGUCCCACCCUUGUUUUCCCAUGGCCAGAUUUCCUGGAGAGGUUGGGUGAUCCUGGGUAAUUUGUGCUCCUGCCUGAGACAGAAUCCUGGUGAUGCAAGGGAGACUCAGGAAUUUGUUGCCUCAGAGCUUCAGGAGCUGUUCUUUAACCAGCUGUCUGUGGUAUUUUAAUUUAGGGCUCAGCCCUAUUCAAUCCCAGAUAUGAGAUCUUUAUAAGAAAUACUUAUCCUUCAUUUGCUUUGAA